UCUAACGUGGCAGAUAAGUGCGGUGGAUUUAAGCUCCAUAAAUAAAGUAUCAAACUUUCAUUAGAA
This 66-nucleotide transfer RNA is filed under the name Tumulitermes recalvus. RNAcentral describes it as "tRNA-Leu". It matches the Rfam family "tRNA". Rfam says of the family: Transfer RNA (tRNA) molecules are approximately 80 nucleotides in length. Their secondary structure includes four short double-helical elements and three loops (D, anti-codon, and T loops). Lineage: Eukaryota; Metazoa; Arthropoda; Insecta; Blattodea; Termitidae. The record is from RNAcentral.